UACGUAGGGUGCAAGCGUUGUCCGGAAUUAUUGGGCGUAAAGAGCUCGUAGGCGGUUUGUCGCGUCCGCUGUGAAAACUCGGGGCUUAACCCCGAGCCUGCAGUGGAUACGGGCAGACUAGAGGUAGGUAGGGGAGAAUGGAAUUCCCGGUGUAGCGGUGAAAUGCGCAGAUAUCGGGAGGAACACCGGUGGCGAAGGCGGUUCUCUGGGCCUUACCUGACGCUGAGGAGCGAAAGCGUGGGGAGCGAACAGG
This 253-nucleotide ribosomal RNA is filed under the name uncultured bacterium. Its description in RNAcentral is "partial 16S ribosomal RNA". It matches the Rfam family "Bacterial small subunit ribosomal RNA", at positions 524 to 776 of the family's 1533-position model. The record is from RNAcentral.